Mastomys coucha (southern multimammate mouse) is the source of this 1054-nucleotide long non-coding RNA. RefSeq lists it as uncharacterized. The transcript is spliced from 3 exons. The record is from RefSeq and is a predicted model, not a curated record. NCBI's taxonomy places the organism in Eukaryota, Metazoa, Chordata, Mammalia, Rodentia, Muridae.
CCACUACUAAGUUACACAGAAACCCAAGCCACCUGGACAAGGGUAAGGACUACAGCCCAUUGGUUCUGCUAAUUACUGUCUUCUGGUCAUCCCACAUAAGAAACAUCUAGAAGCUUCUAUCUCCUGGCCAUUCUAACCUGACAGCUGUAGCCUCAGACAGUGGAGCAGAGACAAUAUCUGGUUACACCUGUCCAACUUCCUGAUGCGGAGAACCGGCAUGCAUAAGAGAGGGAGUGGCUGUCUUCUACCACUAAUGCCCUUGCUAUUCAGCCACUGUAACCACAGAUGGCCAUUGCCUAUUAGAGUCUACGAGGACUGGAAGAAACUGUGAGUCGGGUAGAGGUAUCCGGCAGUUCGCUCCGAGUAGUGACUGUGGCCACUCUCUAGAUCUCCUGGUACAUUUCUGGCCCACAGGAAAGAAACACUAUCCAGGAAAUCCCCAGAUGCAGAUCAGACUCUGGGCACCUCAGUGGAAGCUUCUAUCCGAAGCCACCGCCCAUAACAAAUGGAAAACCCUCUGAAACUACACCACAAGAAUGACACCGUCCACCAGCAUCAGGCACCUGCCCUUGUCCUGUCCCUUCUUCAGACAUCCAUUGUCCAGGAAAUGCCAAAAUUGGUGUGUGUAAGGCAUGUGUGUGCAAAUGCAAGAGACACAGAAGACGGGCAGUGAGUGCAUACAGGAAGCCAUGCAGAACAAGAGGGACCAGGAGGGAACAGAUUCCAGACUGUGCAUCAUCCAAGUACACCCGAUUCCAUGCUACGUUCUAGCAGCAAGCCAGGACCUCAGGAACUUACGGAACUUAAGGUUUGACAACCCUCACAUCGAGACAAAUGCAAAUUGACAUUGGAGUGGGAUACCGUUGUUUUACCUACUAGAUUGGCAAAGAUAAAAAUGAUAUUUUAUUAUCUUGGCAGAGGUAUAGGGAACAAGAACAAAAUCACUGCUGUGGGCGCAAAAGAAAAAAAGGUUUUGGUAGAAUGUGCGUUUUUGAGGGAACACAAUUUGGUAAUAUCUAUCAAGAUUAAAAAUGUAUAUGGUCUGACUCAGCAA